RNAcentral lists this ribosomal RNA (328 nucleotides) under uncultured eukaryote. RNAcentral's name for it is "partial 18S ribosomal RNA". It matches the Rfam family "Eukaryotic small subunit ribosomal RNA", at positions 1470 to 1796 of the family's 1831-position model. The record is from RNAcentral.
CCCUUAGAUGUUCUGGGCCGCACGCGCGCUACACUGAUGCAUUCAACGAGUUUCUUCCUGGUCCGAGAGGAAUGGGUAACCUUUUGAAAGUGCAUCGUGAUAGGGAUAGACUAUUGCAAUUAUUGGUCUUCAACGAGGAAUUCCUAGUAGACGUAGUUCAUCAGACUGCAUCGAUUACGUCCCUGCCCUUUGUACACACCGCCCGUCGCUCCUACCGAUUGAAUGAUCCGAUGAAUAUCAUGGAUUGAGGAUGCAAGUAGGUUCGCCUAUCUUCAUCUUCGAGAAGUGAAGUAAAUCUUAUCAUUUAGAGGAAGGAGAAGUCGUAACA